This 293-nucleotide ribosomal RNA is filed under the name uncultured Phaeocystis. RNAcentral describes it as "partial Bacterial large subunit ribosomal RNA". It matches the Rfam family "Bacterial large subunit ribosomal RNA", at positions 1294 to 1691 of the family's 2925-position model. The record is from RNAcentral. Lineage: Eukaryota; Haptophyta; Phaeocystales; Phaeocystaceae.
AUGCUGACAUGAGUAGCGACAAAGCGGGUGAGAGACCCGCUCGCCGAAAAUCCAAGGGUUCCUGCGUAAAGCUAAUCUGCGCAGGGUUAGCCGGCCCCUAAGGCGAGGCCGAAAGGCGUAGCCGAUGGGAACCACGUUAAUAUUCGUGGGCCUGGGAGUGUGUGACGGAUUUCGAAAGUUGUCAUCCCUUAUCGGAUUGGGGUGGCAGCCUGGAAGUCCCAGGAAAUAGCCCUCCCGUAUAGACCGUACCCUAAACCGACACAGGUGGAUAGGUAGAGAAUACCAAGGCGCUU